Molecule: ribosomal RNA, 253 nt
Filed under: uncultured bacterium
Lineage: Bacteria
Description: partial 16S ribosomal RNA
Rfam family: Bacterial small subunit ribosomal RNA
Source: RNAcentral
UACGUAGGGUGCGAGCGUUAAUCGGAAUUACUGGGCGUAAAGCGUGCGCAGGCGGCGCCGCAAGUCAGGCGUGAAAUCCCCGAGCUUAACUUGGGAAUGGCGCUUGAAACUACGGUGCUGGAGUGUGGCAGAGGGAGGUGGAAUUCCACGUGUAGCGGUGAAAUGCGUAGAGAUGUGGAGGAACACCGAUGGCGAAGGCAGCCUCCUGGGCCAACACUGACACUCAUGCACGAAAGCGUGGGGAGCAAACAGG